GCCGGAGUGGCGGAACGGGCAGACGCAUGGGACUUAAAAUCCCAAGUCCUUCGGGACGUGAGGGUUCGAGUCCCUCCUCCGGCACCA
This 87-nucleotide transfer RNA is filed under the name Armatimonadota bacterium. RNAcentral describes it as "Armatimonadetes bacterium (bioreactor metagenome) tRNA-Leu". It matches the Rfam family "tRNA". Rfam says of the family: Transfer RNA (tRNA) molecules are approximately 80 nucleotides in length. Their secondary structure includes four short double-helical elements and three loops (D, anti-codon, and T loops). Further hydrogen bonds mediate the characteristic L-shaped molecular structure. tRNAs have two regions of fundamental functional importance: the anti-codon, which is responsible for specific mRNA codon recognition, and the 3' end, to which the tRNAs corresponding amino acid is attached (by aminoacyl-tRNA synthetases). tRNAs cope with the degeneracy of the genetic code in two manners: having more than one tRNA (with a specific anti-codon) for a particular amino acid; and 'wobble' base-pairing, i.e. permitting non-standard base-pairing at the 3rd anti-codon position. Lineage: Bacteria; Bacillati; Armatimonadota. The record is from RNAcentral.